AUUGAACGCUGGCGGCAGGCCUAACACAUGCAAGUCGAGCGGAUGAAUGGAGCUUGCUCCUGGAUUCAGCGGCGGACGGGCGAGUAAUGCCUAGGAAUCUGCCUGGUAGUGGGGGAUAACGUCCGGAAACGGGCGCUAAUACCGCAUACGUCCUGAGGGAGAAAGUGGGGGAUCUUCGGACCUCACGCUAUCUGCUGAGCCUAGGUCGGAUUAGCUAGUUGGUGGGGUAAAGGCCUACCAAGGCGACGAUCCGUAACUGGUCUGAGAGGAUGAUCAGUCACACUGGAACUGAGACACGGUCCAGACUCCUACGGGAGGCAGCAGUGGGGAAUAUUGGACAAUGGGCGAAAGCCUGAUCCAGCCAUGCCGCGUGUGUGAAGAAGGUCUUCGGAUUGUAAAGCACUUUUAGUUGGGAGGAAGGGCAGUAAGUGAAUACCUUGCUGUUUUGACGUUACCAACAGAAUAAGCACCGGCUAACUUCGUG
This 484-nucleotide ribosomal RNA is filed under the name uncultured bacterium. RNAcentral describes it as "partial 16S ribosomal RNA". It matches the Rfam family "Bacterial small subunit ribosomal RNA", at positions 30 to 507 of the family's 1533-position model. The record is from RNAcentral.